UACUUAUCAGCGUGACUCAGGUUUAUGCAUUUAUAUAGAAUAGAGAAGUGAAGAUAUAUGGUAGAGAAUAAGACUAAAAUAUCGGAGAGAUAAGAGAAGAGAGGUUGAAGCUAUCGACGACUUAGUAGUCUCUUAAGGGUCUUCGAGUUUUGGAUCAUUUCUUAGUCUUCGGCGAAAUGUCUUUACCCCCAUGCAUUAUUCUAAUAUUUAUUAUUUAUGUGUGUGUGUAUUUCUGUGGAUACGGUUUCAUUGCAUUAUUUAGGUGGGGCAGCUUCUUGGUUUGUGGGUUACUGUCUGAAACAAUUUCUCAUCAAGUUUCUGAUCUUCUUCAUCAUCUUUUUUUCAUCAU
Long non-coding RNA from Arabidopsis thaliana (thale cress), 349 nucleotides. RefSeq annotates it as other RNA. Lineage: Eukaryota; Viridiplantae; Streptophyta; Magnoliopsida; Brassicales; Brassicaceae. The transcript has a single exon. The record is from RefSeq.